CUGCCGGUGUCAAACCGGAGGAAGGUGGGGAUGACGUCAAGUCCUCAUGGCCCUUACGCCCAGGGUGGCAAACGUGCUACAAUGGCGUGUACAAAGCGAUGCAAUAUCGUGAGAUGGAGCAAAUCGCAAAAAGCACGCCCCAGUUCGGAUUGGAGUCUGCAACUCGACUCCAUGAAGCCGGAAUCGCUAGUAAUCGGAGAUCAGCCACGCUCCGGUGAAUACGUUCCUGAGCCUUGUACACACCGCCCGUCAAGUCAUGGAAGCCGGGAGUGCCCGAAGUCGCUCUGAUUCAGGAGUGCCCACGGCAAGUUCGGUAACUGGGACUAAGUCGUAACAAGGUAG
RNAcentral lists this ribosomal RNA (342 nucleotides) under Alexandrium margalefii. Its description in RNAcentral is "partial Bacterial small subunit ribosomal RNA". It matches the Rfam family "Bacterial small subunit ribosomal RNA", at positions 1149 to 1499 of the family's 1533-position model. The record is from RNAcentral. Lineage: Eukaryota; Dinophyceae; Gonyaulacales; Pyrocystaceae.